This 324-nucleotide ribosomal RNA is filed under the name uncultured eukaryote. Its description in RNAcentral is "partial 18S ribosomal RNA". It matches the Rfam family "Eukaryotic small subunit ribosomal RNA", at positions 1470 to 1796 of the family's 1831-position model. The record is from RNAcentral.
CCCUUAGAUGUUCUGGGCCGCACGCGCGCUACACUGACGGAGUCAACGAGUUGUCCUGCAUCGGAAGGUGUGGGUAAUCUUUUGAAACUUCGUCGUGCUGGGGAUAGAUCUUUGCAAUUUUCGAUCUUGAACGAGGAAUUCCUAGUAAGCGUGAUUCAUCAGAUCGCGUUGAUUACGUCCCUGCCCUUUGUACGCACCGCCCGUCGCUACUACCGAUUGAAUGGUUUAGUGAGGCCUCGGGACUGGCGCGCUCGAGUAGCAAUACACCUGCGCGCCGGGAACUUGGUCAAACUUGAUCAUUUAGAGGAAGUAAAAGUCGUAACA